Eucalyptus grandis is the source of this 912-nucleotide long non-coding RNA. RefSeq lists it as uncharacterized. Lineage: Eukaryota; Viridiplantae; Streptophyta; Magnoliopsida; Myrtales; Myrtaceae. The record is from RefSeq and is a predicted model, not a curated record. The transcript is spliced from 3 exons.
UUUCACUUUUGUUGCUGCCGCUAGCCCUCUUCUCCUUUUCCCACCAUUUUAUUGCAGCACCACUAGAACUCCAUUUCACGCCCCCAUCCACCGAGUAGCUCCCAUCCACCUCCAUGUCACCAUUAUUCCACCACACCUGCUAGCGCCAUCUUCAACUUCCAUCGACCAGCAACAUCUUCAUCUUCACGACCACAACAUCACCAGCAGUUCAUCCCACCUCCAGCUGGUCUGCCAACACCUGCAGCUCCACCAAACAGCCACCAUCUCAGGCCACUAGCUUCACCAUUAGACCACCAGCAUGCCUCCGCCAGCUUCUCCACGCCUGUAGCCCAUCCGCCAACCCCAGCACCUUCACGCCACCAUCCAUUCCACCACUGAACAGCUGUACCGUCCUCGCCGAGCUGCCACCAACUCAGCCAUCGUUCAGCAGCUCCAAAUAGCCAGCUCAAUAGAACCGGAUUUCCCCCUUGGCCGUGAGCCUCUUAGGCUAUUUUUCCUCUACCAGUUGGCCUCCGUUGGAGAUGUGAUAGCUUUGAGUCUUAGUCACUGUCGCGCCGCCAUCGCCGUGAGCCUGCUGCCGUCCUAAUCUGGGCCGUAGCGUGGAGAUUUGCUGAGUGCGGAUGUGGUGGGUGCGAGAUGCGACACCUUUUGGCUGCCUUUGCCAUUAGUGAAGUUUAAGCUUUAGGGUUGACUGGAGGAGAAGGAAUUUUCAAAGCGAGCUGUGAAGCAGUUCUUGGUGUCGUCAAGAAAAAUAAAGACAUAAUCCUGAUGCUACUACAGGAUUUUAUCUGGGAGCCACUUGUAGAACGGUCUAGGGGAGACAUUCACGAUGAUGCAGCAAUUGGGGGUGAAGAGACAAAGGCAUGAAGUUGGCUGUGAGCUUAAGCUUAUUCACAUCUUGAGUGCGAGAAA